Lolium rigidum is the source of this 2088-nucleotide long non-coding RNA. RefSeq lists it as uncharacterized. The transcript is spliced from 7 exons. The record is from RefSeq and is a predicted model, not a curated record. Lineage: Eukaryota; Viridiplantae; Streptophyta; Magnoliopsida; Poales; Poaceae.
GGAAAGGAGGCGGGUCGUGCGCGGCUCCGUGAGGCCGCCGCCGACGAGUGCAUCGCUGGAGGCUCCACCAAGACGCCUCUGACAUCCGCCGUCGUUCUGCCUUGCCCCCAUCCUUAUGCCUUGCCUCUCACCUCCAUCAAAUCGCCAUUGCUGAAGCGGAACUCCAGACUCUAGAUGACUGCUUAGUAGUUUGGAACUGAACUUUUACUGCGAUAAUUUCUGAAGGGGGAGGAGAACAACCACUCUCCCAUAUUCUGCCGGUAUGCCUCUGCCCCUAUAUCUAAAUCAGGAAAUCGCUGAGGUGGUGGCAAUUAGUUCCUAUCUUGAUUAUGUUCGGAAAUAGAUACCUGCGUUUUUCUGGCUAAACUGGUUUGUGUUGCGUGGCUGAUUUUAAGGAAACUUGCAAGUUAUAGGGUUUGAUUAUUUCCCUACAUAUGCACAUCGUUGUAGGUUUGUUGCGGAAUUCUGACUUUUGAUUCUAUCUACUCUUUUUGCGGGUCAAUGUCUGCACUUUGUAGAUAGUUUGCUAGACAGUUCAUUUCAGGUCGAGUCUGAUCUUGUUUCGUCUUGAUUAACAUAGUUUGGCCUCAGCAAAGCAUACAUUUUGUACAAAAUAUUAUUAUCUAUUGACAACGGUCCAUGAUAACUUUGAUUAUGACCGUACAGAUUAUUUUCGCAGAGGAACACAUAUUCUGUUGAUGAUGAAAAUUUGCAUAGGUGGAUAGUCAGUCUGAUCAGGCACAUGUAGAUCAAAAACUACUUAUCCACAUGUAGGUCAAAAACUUGCGAGUUCUCACUCUUGAUCAGGCCCUAAAGUUACUAGGUGGACCUUACAUGGCGCAGGCAGCUGCAAGGUGGUGAAUCGACAAUGCCUGAUAUGAAACCGUACACAUAGUCCCCACGACUAGCCUGCCUUCAAAUUCCCGUGGAUCGACGCAGACAUCAACUUCAGGAGCAAGGAGUAGUUCGUGCAGGUGCUGCAGCAGCAGCCGCUGGCUUCAUCUGGGGCAUUCGUGCAGGUGCUGCAGCAGCAGCCGCUGACUUCAUCUGGGGCAGCUCCAGGUUCCGGGGCAUCACCCUGUACAAGUGUGGCAGGUGGGAGGCUAGGUCAUGGGCAAGAAGCCAAGAAGUAAUCUUUAUUCGUCAGGGAAAAAUGCGUUAACUUUCCACAGGGCUUACGACAAGAUUGCAUCGAAAGCUGCGGGGAGGAGGCGCGACCAACUUCCUGGAGUAUGAUACAGGCCCAGGAUAUCCUCCAGCUCGACCAAAUCAGCCGCGUCCAUCGCUGACAUCUUACCACCCGCUUUGGAGUGUGUCUGGGCCGAACCAAAUGGCACAAUAAGGCGGUGGUCAGAUGUGUUUGGGUUUCCUCUUUUUGGUGUUCCACACUUCCAUUGUGGAAAUUUUUAGGACUGGCCUACCAAUUUUUUCUGCAGCAGACACUUCUUUUUUUGGUUAACUUGCAAUGUAAGCUUUAGUAAUUAGCCACAACUUCUGGAGGACAGUAGAAGAGGAUAGGUGCAUCUUUGUUGGUUCUUCCAGGUUAGGUGUUCGAUAAAUUGGGUUCUUUGGCAUCAAAAGCUAGGUAAUACAGUCAAUAAGCGAGUUCGUUGUGCAGUAUAUGCCGUGUCAUGUCAUCAAUAAGCCACACAUGGAAAUGCCUCCUGUGUCAAAUGUUUGAUAUAGUUUUCCAUGCUUAGAUGUCUCCGCACCCUGUGUCAAUGUGGCAUGUUGUAAUGGCUGAUGCAUCUGAAGGAGCGCCAUCGCUGUUAAGUUGUGGUGUAAUUAGUGGCCUGUGUAGUUGGUACAUACAGGGAGUUCUAUAGGUUGGUCCUAUCAGCCUAAUACCAACGGCCCUCAUGGUCAUGGAUAUGUGCAGCGAAGUGAAGUACUGACUUAAUCUUUGACGAGCGUUGCAGUAGUAAGUAUCUUUGGAGUUGGUCCCUCUUACUAUGACAUUAUAAGAGAGGAGUGCUUAUGUUUUUUUCUAAUUUCAAAUCUACUGUUAGUCUUCCCUUCCCUUCAAAAAUAUUGUGCUUUGUUUUCCUUAUGAUAUAUCUUUUGUGCAAUUUAAUGCUGAAUUGACGG